AGGUCAAGCGAAGAAGGGCGCAGGGCGGAUGCUUGGCACUGAGAGCCGAUGAAAGACGUGAUAAGCUGCGAUAAGCUUCGGGGAGGAGCAAAUAUCCUUUGAUCCGGAGAUCUCUGAAUGGGGAAACCCGGCUGUAUGGACUACAGUCAUCCAUAAGUGAAUCCAUAGCUUAUGGAAGGGAACCCGGGGAACUGAAACAUCUAAGUACCCGGAGGAAGAGAAAGAAACAUUCGAUUCCGUAAGUAGCGGCGAGCGAACGCGGAAGAGCCCAAACCGUGAUGCGUGCAUCGCGGGGUUCGGACUGCAUAAGGGAUUCAGUAACGGCAGGAGAACGGCUUUGGAACAGCCGGCCAGAGAGGGUGAGAGCCCCGUAUCCGAAGCCAGAGCUGACCCGGCAGGAUCCAGAGUACCACGGGACACGGGAAACCCUGUGGGAACGAGCGGAGACCACUCCGUAAGGCUAAAUACUACUCAGUGACCGAUAGCGUAUAGUACUGUGAAGGAAAGGUGAAAAGAACCCCGGGAGGGGAGUGAAAGAGAACCUGAAACCCUGUGUCUACAAGCUGUGGAAGUACUUCU
Molecule: ribosomal RNA, 579 nt
Filed under: Anaerobutyricum hallii
Lineage: Bacteria; Bacillati; Bacillota; Clostridia; Lachnospirales; Lachnospiraceae
Description: [Eubacterium] hallii partial 23S ribosomal RNA
Rfam family: Bacterial large subunit ribosomal RNA
Source: RNAcentral